GUGCAGGCCCUGUGCAACAAAACACCGUGAACCAUGUCAGGCGGGGAACCGAGCAGCAUUAAACGGAUCGUUUUGUGUGUGCAGUAAGCCUGUACACC
This 98-nucleotide signal recognition particle RNA is filed under the name Clostridiales bacterium. RNAcentral's name for it is "signal recognition particle sRNA small type". It matches the Rfam family "Bacterial small signal recognition particle RNA". From Rfam's summary of the family: The signal recognition particle (SRP) is a universally conserved ribonucleoprotein involved in the co-translational targeting of proteins to membranes. Archaeal SRP consists of a 7S RNA and homologues of the eukaryotic SRP19 and SRP54 proteins. The record is from RNAcentral. Lineage: Bacteria; Bacillati; Bacillota; Clostridia; Eubacteriales.